RNAcentral lists this transfer RNA (74 nucleotides) under Terrimicrobium sacchariphilum. RNAcentral's name for it is "tRNA-Gln". It matches the Rfam family "tRNA". Rfam says of the family: Transfer RNA (tRNA) molecules are approximately 80 nucleotides in length. Their secondary structure includes four short double-helical elements and three loops (D, anti-codon, and T loops). Lineage: Bacteria; Pseudomonadati; Verrucomicrobiota; Terrimicrobiia; Terrimicrobiales; Terrimicrobiaceae. RNAcentral also lists the same sequence under 3 other names. The record is from RNAcentral.
UACCCGGUGGUGUAACGGUAACACAGAGGCCUUUGGAGCCUUUAUUCAUGGUUCGAAUCCAUGCCGGGUAGCCA